Molecule: long non-coding RNA, 1390 nt
Filed under: Mus musculus (house mouse)
Lineage: Eukaryota; Metazoa; Chordata; Mammalia; Rodentia; Muridae
Description: long non-coding RNA chr7:70369508-70370898
Source: RNAcentral
GGGGCCUCCCUGCGUGGCUACGCAGGACUCUGAUAGGUGGUCCUGGGCCACAGGGUAGCUAGCGCGUCUCACGAGCUCCGGAAAGGGCUCUGAGGUGUCCCGCGCGCCCUAGGGAAGGAAUGGGGGAGGUGUGGAGGAGAUAGUGGCAAUGUGGGCAAGUGACUGAAUGUCAAAAGUAAAAAGGUUGAAAAGGCAAUUUUCCUGACGCGCUUUGCCCCCCUCAUUUCUCCUCUCCCUGGAACUCCCGCCCGGGCUGUAAAUCUGCGGCCGGUGGCCAGGACACUGGAAGUCCCCUCGGCGGACCCGAAGCGGCCCCGCCCGCAGAGAGCACACCUCCCGGUGGGCUCCGCAUCGAUCCGACGCCUAGCUGAGGAUGUCACCGCACUAAAUAUUUACUGAUCACACACAAAUAGCCAGAGCUCGAACGAUUUUCCUCUGUGAGGAGAGCGCAGAGAGCAGGGUAAAUCAUUUUAUUAGUGUGGAUAAAGCCCAGAGCACACUCCGGGCUGGAGUGUUUUAAGAUGUGUCUUCAACGGGAUGAAAAGAGUUAGGGAAAUCGAUACGGAGUGAUUAGAAGCCCCCGGGGUGACGAAGGGGGACCUGACUAGUCGGGAUUUGGCGGGGCCGAGAGGAAGGAAGCCAGCUCCAAGGGGGACUGCCGGACCAUCGCCAGGGAGCUCAAGCGCAGGCCUCGGUCCCUCUGCCCUCGACGGAAAAGGUGGCAGCGCAGCCAGAGAUAGGACUCUGCUGCCUGGCUUUGCAAAUAGGGCUGAGGCGGCCGCCGCGGGCCGAAGGCUUGGGAGCACAUCCGCUGUACACCCGAGUGGGAUGACCAGGUGGCCACCGGAGUUGAUGGCUUAUGCGAAGCAAGACAAGAACAUGUAGUCUGGCGAGGCAGCCUAGGUAGCCAAGGUGUGGCUCCGAUGGAUUGCUUUCUUCCCUUGCCAUUUUGGAGACUCCUUUUAGGUGCCACUCCAGGCUUUUACAACUUUCUUCUCAAUCAACCUCCAUCUCUCGUCUUAUUUAGCAUCUCUAAAGAGGACCCAGUAGCCCAGCUCCAUCAAUGGCUUGGCUUUCCAUGCUAUCUGCCCAGUGUCCAGGGCGGCCACCGGGUGGCGAGACACCCCCCCCCCCCCGUGGAAUUUGCAGAACAGUGGAUUCUAGGUUCGCGGCUCAGCUCUCAGGCAGGUGGAACGAAGUCUAAGGCCAUGGAUUAAGGCAGGGGCACCAAAGGAAGUCGGAGGGCUGCGGGUUUUCUCAGCGAGAGGGAAUCAGCUUUAGCAGGAUCAGGUCCCACCCCAGCCAGUGGGGACCUGUCUAGGACCCAAAGAUUAGAUACUGGAAACUAAAGUGAAGUUCACGGGGCGUUAGGUAAAAUUUACUGGAAGUU